Molecule: ribosomal RNA, 3064 nt
Filed under: Salmonella enterica subsp. enterica serovar Enteritidis str. EC20121541
Lineage: Bacteria; Pseudomonadati; Pseudomonadota; Gammaproteobacteria; Enterobacterales; Enterobacteriaceae
Description: bacterial LSU rRNA
Rfam family: Bacterial large subunit ribosomal RNA
Source: RNAcentral
GGGUUGUGAGGUUAAGCGACUAAGCGUACACGGUGGAUGCCCUGGCAGUCAGAGGCGAUGAAGGGCGUGCUAAUCUGCGAUAAGCGCCGGUAAGGUGAUAUGAACCGUUAUAACCGGCGAUACCCGAAUGGGGAAACCCAGUGUGAUUCGUCACACUAUCAUUAACUGAAUCCAUAGGUUAAUGAGGCGAACCGGGGGAACUGAAACAUCUAAGUACCCCGAGGAAAAGAAAUCAACCGAGAUUCCCCCAGUAGCGGCGAGCGAACGGGGAGGAGCCCAGAGCCUGAAUCAGCAUGUGUGUUAGUGGAAGCGUCUGGAAAGGCGCGCGAUACAGGGUGACAGCCCCGUACACAAAAGCGCAUGUGCUGUGAGCUCGAUGAGUAGGGCGGGACACGUGGUAUCCUGUCUGAAUAUGGGGGGACCAUCCUCCAAGGCUAAAUACUCCUGACUGACCGAUAGUGAACCAGUACCGUGAGGGAAAGGCGAAAAGAACCCCGGCGAGGGGAGUGAAAAAGAACCUGAAACCGUGUACGUACAAGCAGUGGGAGCCCCACCACCAAAGCAUUUGCUGUACCGCGUUGACGGAGCGAAGCGACGUCAAACCGAUAAAACAGCAGUGUAAAGUGAGCCGCAGGGCGCUUUGCGCGACAGCGCAAAGGCAGGCGGUUUCGCGUAGCGAAAGCGAAUGCUUUGGGGUGGGGUGACUGCGUACCUUUUGUAUAAUGGGUCAGCGACUUAUAUUCUGUAGCAAGGUUAACCGAAUAGGGGAGCCGGAGGGAAACCGAGUCUUAAUUGGGCGUUAAGUUGCAGGGUAUAGACCCGAAACCCGGUGAUCUAGCCAUGGGCAGGUUGAAGGUUGGGUAACACUAACUGGAGGACCGAACCGACUAAUGUUGAAAAAUUAGCGGAUGACCUGUGGCUGGGGGUGAAAGGCCAAUCAAACCGGGAGAUAGCUGGUUCUCCCCGAAAGCUAUUUAGGUAGCGCCUCGUGAAUUCAUCUCCGGGGGUAGAGCACUGUUUCGGCUAGGGGGCCAUCCCGGCUUACCAACCCGAUGCAAACUGCGAAUACCGGAGAAUGUUAUCACGGGAGACACACGGCGGGUGCUAACGUCCGUCGUGAAGAGGGAAACAACCCAGACCGCCAGCUAAGGUCCCAAAGUCAUGGUUAAGUGGGAAACGAUGUGGGAAGGCCCAGACAGCCAGGAUGUUGGCUUAGAAGCAGCCAUCAUUUAAAGAAAGCGUAAUAGCUCACUGGUCGAGUCGGCCUGCGCGGAAGAUGUAACGGGGCUAAACCAUGCACCGAAGCUGCGGCAGCGACACUGUGUGUUGUUGGGUAGGGGAGCGUUCUGUAAGCCUGCGAAGGUGGCCUGUGAGGGUUGCUGGAGGUAUCAGAAGUGCGAAUGCUGACAUAAGUAACGAUAAAGCGGGUGAAAAGCCCGCUCGCCGGAAGACCAAGGGUUCCUGUCCAACGUUAAUCGGGGCAGGGUGAGUCGACCCCUAAGGCGAGGCCGAAAGGCGUAGUCGAUGGGAAACGGGUUAAUAUUCCCGUACUUGGUGUUACUGCGAAGGGGGGACGGAGAAGGCUAUGUUGGCCGGGCGACGGUUGUCCCGGUUUAAGCGUGUAGGUGUGUGUUCCAGGUAAAUCCGGUUCACUUUAACACUGAGGCGUGACGACGAGGCACUACGGUGCUGAAGCAACAAAUGCCCUGCUUCCAGGAAAAGCCUCUAAGCAUCAGGUAACAUCAAAUCGUACCCCAAACCGACACAGGUGGUCAGGUAGAGAAUACCAAGGCGCUUGAGAGAACUCGGGUGAAGGAACUAGGCAAAAUGGUGCCGUAACUUCGGGAGAAGGCACGCUGACACGUAGGUGAAGUGAUUUACUCAUGGAGCUGAAGUCAGUCGAAGAUACCAGCUGGCUGCAACUGUUUAUUAAAAACACAGCACUGUGCAAACACGAAAGUGGACGUAUACGGUGUGACGCCUGCCCGGUGCCGGAAGGUUAAUUGAUGGGGUCAGCGCAAGCGAAGCUCCUGAUCGAAGCCCCGGUAAACGGCGGCCGUAACUAUAACGGUCCUAAGGUAGCGAAAUUCCUUGUCGGGUAAGUUCCGACCUGCACGAAUGGCGUAAUGAUGGCCAGGCUGUCUCCACCCGAGACUCAGUGAAAUUGAACUCGCUGUGAAGAUGCAGUGUACCCGCGGCAAGACGGAAAGACCCCGUGAACCUUUACUAUAGCUUGACACUGAACAUUGAGCCUUGAUGUGUAGGAUAGGUGGGAGGCUUUGAAGUGUGGACGCCAGUCUGCAUGGAGCCGACCUUGAAAUACCACCCUUUAAUGUUUGAUGUUCUAACGUGGACCCGUUACCCGGGUUGCGGACAGUGUCUGGUGGGUAGUUUGACUGGGGCGGUCUCCUCCUAAAGAGUAACGGAGGAGCACGAAGGUUGGCUAAUCCUGGUCGGACAUCAGGAGGUUAGUGCAAUGGCAUAAGCCAGCUUGACUGCGAGCGUGACGGCGCGAGCAGGUGCGAAAGCAGGUCAUAGUGAUCCGGUGGUUCUGAAUGGAAGGGCCAUCGCUCAACGGAUAAAAGGUACUCCGGGGAUAACAGGCUGAUACCGCCCAAGAGUUCAUAUCGACGGCGGUGUUUGGCACCUCGAUGUCGGCUCAUCACAUCUGGGGCUGAAGUAGGUCCCAAGGGUAUGGCUGUUCGCCAUUUAAAGUGGUACGCGAGCUGGGUUUAGAACGUCGUGAGACAGUUCGGUCCCUAUCUGCCGUGGGCGCUGGAGAACUGAGGGGGGCUGCUCCUAGUACGAGAGGACCGGAGUGGACGCAUCACUGGUGUUCGGGUUGUCAUGCCAAUGGCACUGCCCGGUAGCUAAAUGCGGAAGAGAUAAGUGCUGAAAGCAUCUAAGCACGAAACUUGCCCCGAGAUGAGUUCUCCCUGAGACUUAAAGUCUCCUGAAGGAACGUUGAAGACGACGACGUUGAUAGGCCGGGUGUGUAAGCGCAGCGAUGCGUUGAGCUAACCGGUACUAAUGAACCGUGAGGCUUAACCUUACAACGCCGAAG